Molecule: ribosomal RNA, 1242 nt
Filed under: Bacillus subtilis
Lineage: Bacteria; Bacillati; Bacillota; Bacilli; Caryophanales; Bacillaceae
Description: bacterial SSU rRNA
Rfam family: Bacterial small subunit ribosomal RNA
Source: RNAcentral
GGCGGACGGGUGAGUAAUGCUUAGGAAUCUGCCUAUUAGUGGGGGACAACAUUUCGAAAGGAAUGCUAAUACCGCAUACGUCCUACGGGAGAAAGCAGGGGAUCUUCGGACCUUGCGCUAAUAGAUGAGCCUAAGUCGGAUUAGCUAGUUGGUGGGGUAAAGGCCUACCAAGGCGACGAUCUGUAGCGGGUCUGAGAGGAUGAUCCGCCACACUGGGACUGAGACACGGCCCAGACUCCUACGGGAGGCAGCAGUGGGGAAUAUUGGACAAUGGGCGCAAGCCUGAUCCAGCCAUGCCGCGUGUGUGAAGAAGGCCUUAUGGUUGUAAAGCACUUUAAGCGAGGAGGAGGCUACUUUAGAUAAUACCUAGAGAUAGUGGACGUUACUCGCAGAAUAAGCACCGGCUAACUCUGUGCCAGCAGCCGCGGUAAUACAGAGGGUGCAAGCGUUAAUCGGAUUUACUGGGCGUAAAGCGCGCGUAGGCGGCUAAUUAAGUCAAAUGUGAAAUCCCCGAGCUUAACUUGGGAAUUGCAUUCGAUACUGGUUAGCUAGAGUGUGGGAGAGGAUGGUAGAAUUCCAGGUGUAGCGGUGAAAUGCGUAGAGAUCUGGAGGAAUACCGAUGGCGAAGGCAGCCAUCUGGCCUAACACUGACGCUGAGGUGCGAAAGCAUGGGGAGCAAACAGGAUUAGAUACCCUGGUAGUCCAUGCCGUAAACGAUGUCUACUAGCCGUUGGGGCCUUUGAGGCUUUAGUGGCGCAGCUAACGCGAUAAGUAGACCGCCUGGGGAGUACGGUCGCAAGACUAAAACUCAAAUGAAUUGACGGGGGCCCGCACAAGCGGUGGAGCAUGUGGUUUAAUUCGAUGCAACGCGAAGAACCUUACCUGGCCUUGACAUAGUAAGAACUUUCCAGAGAUGGAUUGGUGCCUUCGGGAACUUACAUACAGGUGCUGCAUGGCUGUCGUCAGCUCGUGUCGUGAGAUGUUGGGUUAAGUCCCGCAACGAGCGCAACCCUUUUCCUUAUUUGCCAGCGAGUAAUGUCGGGAACUUUAAGGAUACUGCCAGUGACAAACUGGAGGAAGGCGGGGACGACGUCAAGUCAUCAUGGCCCUUACGGCCAGGGCUACACACGUGCUACAAUGGUCGGUACAAAGGGUUGCUACCUAGCGAUAGGAUGCUAAUCUCAAAAAGCCGAUCGUAGUCCGGAUUGGAGUCUGCAACUCGACUCCAUGAAGUCGGAAUCG